UACAGAGGUGGCAAGCGUUGUUCGGAAUUACUGGGCGUAAAGGGCGCGUAGGCGGCCUUCUAAGUCAGACGUGAAAUCCCCCGGCUUAACCUGGGAACUGCAUCCGAUACUGGAUGGCUUGAAUUCGGGAGAGGGAUGCAGAAUUCCAGGUGUAGCGGUGAAAUGCGUAGAUAUCUGGAGGAACACCGGUGGCGAAGGCGGGACUCUGGGCCGAUACUGACGCUGAGGAGCGAAAGCGUGGGGAGCAAACAGG
Molecule: ribosomal RNA, 253 nt
Filed under: uncultured bacterium
Lineage: Bacteria
Description: partial 16S ribosomal RNA
Rfam family: Bacterial small subunit ribosomal RNA
Source: RNAcentral